CAGGUGCUGCAUGGCUGUCGUCAGCUCGUGCUGUGAAGUGUUGGGUUAAGUCCCGCAACGAGCGCAACCCCUCGCUGCCUGUUGCCACCACGAGAGGUGGGGACUCAGGCGGGACCGCCGGUGACAAACCGGAGGAAGGUGGGGACGGACGUCAAGUCAUCAUGGCCCUUAUGUCCUGGGCGUACACACGUGCUACAAUGGCCGGUACAGAGCGCAGCGAGGCCGCGAGGCGGAGCGAAUCGCUUAAAGCCGGUCCCAGUACGGAUUGGAGUCUGCAACCCGACUCCAUGAAGUUGGAAUCGCUAGUAAUCGCGCAUCAGCAUGGCGCGGUGAAUACGUUCCCGGGCCUU
This 350-nucleotide ribosomal RNA is filed under the name uncultured Spirochaeta sp. RNAcentral's name for it is "bacterial SSU rRNA". It matches the Rfam family "Bacterial small subunit ribosomal RNA", at positions 1035 to 1382 of the family's 1533-position model. The record is from RNAcentral. Lineage: Bacteria; Pseudomonadati; Spirochaetota; Spirochaetia; Spirochaetales; Spirochaetaceae.